CCUAUCUGCACACAGCAUCUUUUCUUCCUCUCCUCUUACCAAAUUCCCAAAUUUGUUUGCCUCAGCCGCUGGACUUCUCCACCCUGGUGCCGCUGCUCCCUAACAAUCUCACUGGUGCCGCCGUUCUCGCCCAUCUCUGACCUUCUCCUCCGGUGCCCCUUCGUCCCGCACCCUUUCUUCCCCGGCUGGAGGGUGCACAUCGGGGAUGAGGAGCACGCAGGGAACUCGAGGUCGCGCCGGAGCCCGGAUGCGUGGCUGCGCAUCCUCUCGCAGGGAGCCCGGAGCCUGGAUGAGGAACACGACAUCCUCUCGCCCGUCCCCUCUUCUACCUGGGAGCUUCCCGUGGGACGAGCAGGUUUUCUCUCUUGACUCCUGGACUUGGACGCAGACCUGGCUGUGCGUGUGGCCGUGGGGGUUGGCCGGUGGCACGGUUGGCGGCGGCGGCUCGUCUAUUUACUGCCGCACGCAGGCACGCCGAGGCCGUGUGCAAUGAGGAACACGGCAUCCUCUCGCCUUGCUUCAAGUUCCAAACUGUUCGCAGCUUGUUGACUUUCAACAGUUAGGUGCACAGCUGAAAAUUCAGUAGAACAUGGUGCUCCUCGAAAUACUGGUCAUCUGGAACUUUGGCAACCUUUGGCUUUUCAAGUUUGGCAGUCCGUCUAAAAGCAACUCUAUCCAACUGAGAAGAUCACUAUACUUACCAAUGGACCUCUUACAAAUUGGGCCAACAUUGUUCUCUCUGACAAGAAUGCAAGUCCUGUAAUAGAGGUUGGUUAUUUGAUAUCUUUUGCUUUCGUGCUGUAUUUAAUGCAUUUUAAAAUAUGAUAAGUUUAAACUGUUCACUGUUAAUAUUGACUUACAUGUUGCUCUUGUGCAGAGUGUAUGAAAAUGAUUAAAACGGAAACGUGUUCACUAUUCCAUGUAAUAGAUAUGCGGAAUUUAAUACAUUUCUUGAUCCCUUAGCUGUGAUAGUAGUUCUAGAGUGCACUCUGGAUAUCACAUUGAUUCCCCUCAGCUCUCAGAGAAAAGCUGCUUCCUUUCCACCUCUCCUUGAAGCUCUAAAGCAUGCUCAACAUACUCCAGAAUCAAGUUUUUUCCUCCACUUUUUGUCAUUGCUUCAUUUCCACGUCAUCUUUCCAUCCUUCUAUUGCGUCUUGAAGAGCAAUGUUCAGGUAGAAUGAUAUUUCUGUGAUGGGUCCUGUUUUAUGCAUGUUCGUGCUAGGAAUGGGAUCAAGUAGAGUAUUAUGACAGAUUUUACAGGGAAAUAAUCAGCCUUUGGAUACACAUAUUAUCUAGGGACAUUUCACUGUGGGACUAUAUUAUAAUCAACCUUAGUAUAGGAUCCACCCUAAUAUUUUAUUAUCUGAAUUCACCUACAUGCUACACUAUUUAUACGGCACUGGCAACUAACAUGGAAUUUCCUUUGACGUUUUGUAUGUAGCACAAAUUUAGCACAUUUCGGGCAAAUGAAAUAAACCUUUGAAUAAGCACAUUUAGAGGGGAGACAACCAUUAUAGGAUCCACCCUAAUAUUUCAUUAUAUGAAUUCACCUACAUGCUACAGUAUCUAUACGACAGUGGCAACUAACAUGGAGUUUCCUUUUGAUGUUUUUAUGUACCACAAACUUAUCACAUGUAUGGCAAAUGAAAUAAAUUAGUGAAUCGGCACAUUUGAGGCAAAAGUCAACAUCAUCUACUUUGGGUCAAGGGAGAUGCAGGAGCUGCAAAAGCUUUUGCAAUUCCAUGAAAGCUGGCGAACAUGGUGUUCUUAUUUGCUGAGCUACCGCUUAUGCAGUACUACCUGGUGUUGUCCAAGCCCUCCAUGGUUGCUGCUGCUGCUGUCUACACAGCCAGGCUCACACCUAAAAACAUACCUCUGUGGACCGACAUGCUCAAGCAUCAUACUGGCUUCAGUGAAUCACACUACUACUCAUGAAGAUGAAGGAUAAGAAGAGGCGAUGUCUUCGACUGGUUGGAGAGCCAACCUGGGCGUCAAAGAAGAGGCGGCAGACCAAUGAGGCAGAUCACGGGGCUUCGGCGAGGCGGCAGACCUCAGGGCGUCGGUGUUGGCAACCAGUGUUUUCCAAGAAAGCAGGCGUCGGAGAAGAGACCGCAGACCACUGGGCGGCGAGGUGGUUGCCGGACGGCAGGCAUGGGAGAAGAGAUGGCAGCGUGAGGGUGAGAAGAGGCGGCAGCGUUAGGGGAGAGAUGAUUUCCUAUUCCACCCAGCUGAUUCAUAGGGAUACAUCUGGGCUGAUUGGUUUCCUUGUACGUCUGGGCAGAUUUUUUUCCUUGUACGUCUCGGCUGAUACGUCUCCGCUGAUUGUGAUUGAUUGCUGGAUUC
Lolium rigidum is the source of this 2343-nucleotide long non-coding RNA. RefSeq lists it as uncharacterized. The record is from RefSeq and is a predicted model, not a curated record. The transcript has 4 exons. NCBI's taxonomy places the organism in Eukaryota, Viridiplantae, Streptophyta, Magnoliopsida, Poales, Poaceae.